This 224-nucleotide ribosomal RNA is filed under the name uncultured bacterium. Its description in RNAcentral is "partial 16S ribosomal RNA". It matches the Rfam family "Bacterial small subunit ribosomal RNA", at positions 524 to 746 of the family's 1533-position model. The record is from RNAcentral.
UACGAAGGGGGCUAGCGUUGUUCGGAUUUACUGGGCGUAAAGCGCACGUAGGCGGAUCGUUAAGUCGGGGGUGAAAUCCUGGAGCUCAACUCCAGAACUGCCUUCGAUACUGGCGAUCUUGAGUCCGGAAGAGGUGAGUGGAACUCCUAGUGUAGAGGUGGAAUUCGUAGAUAUUAGGAAGAACACCUGUGGCGAAAGCGGCGCACUGGACCGUACACUGACGC